Molecule: ribosomal RNA, 508 nt
Filed under: uncultured bacterium
Lineage: Bacteria
Description: partial 16S ribosomal RNA
Rfam family: Bacterial small subunit ribosomal RNA
Source: RNAcentral
GAUGAACGCUAGCUACAGGCUUAACACAUGCAAGUCGAGGGGCAGCGGUAUCGAAAGCUUGCUUUCGGUAGCCGGCGACCGGCGCACGGGUGAGUAACGCGUAUCGAACCUGCCUCAUACUCGGGAAUAGCCUUGCGAAAGUAAGAUUAAUGCCCGGUGUUUUCAGAGUCCCGCAUGAGGCUUUGAACAAAGAUUUAUCGGUAUGAGAUGGCGAUGCGUCCCAUUAGCUUGUUGGCGGGGUAACGGCCCACCAAGGCAUCGAUGGGUAGGGGUUCUGAGAGGAAGGUGCCCCACAGUGGAACUGAGACACGGUCCAAACUCCUACGGGAGGCAGCAGUGAGGAAUAUUGGUCAAUGGGCGGAAGCCUGAACCAGCCAAGUAGCGUGCAGGAAGACGGCCCUCCGGGUUGUAAACUGCUUUUAGUUGGGAAUAAAACGGGGCUCGUGAGCCCCCUUGCAUGUACCAUCAGAAAAAGGACCGGCUAAUUCCGUGCCAGCAGCCGCGGUAA